GAGCUCAUGCACACUCUAUCAGCAAUUAGCACAGCCAAAAGUUGCACUCAGGAGAGCAUUAUUUACAAGUUUAUUCAGCGUUGAUCAGAACACAGAAAAACAUGACUGCCUGCUGAUUUAGUGUCUGCGACACCAGAGAGAAAACGAAAGCAACAGAAAACAUAAACAUCCUGUGAACAGGAAAUACGCAGACUCUGACUCACAAAGCCUGCUCCCUUUUAAGGUGGAACGGAAAUAUCCUAACAAAAUGUUGGACGGAAGUGAAAAAAGAUUUAGAAAUUUGGUCAAAUUUGAAGCUUUCACUGUUGGGUCGUAUUGCUGUGAUAAAAAUGAAUGUAUUGCCUAGAAUGCUGUUUUUGUUUCAAACAUUGCAAAUUGUGGACAAGAUGGAUUGUUUCAAGAAGUGGCAGAGAGAUAUUUCUAGAUUUGUCUGGCAGGGCAAGAAGCCCAGAAUAAAAUUUAAGAUAUUAACCGAUGCAAAG
Podarcis lilfordi (Lilford's wall lizard) is the source of this 482-nucleotide non-coding RNA. Lineage: Eukaryota; Metazoa; Chordata; Lepidosauria; Squamata; Lacertidae. The record is from the annotation of a GenBank genome assembly.